GGUUCUAUAGUGUAGCGGGUAGCACAUUUGCUUUACAUGCAGAAGGUCCUGGGUUCGUGCCCCAGUGGAGCCA
Molecule: transfer RNA, 73 nt
Filed under: Pteropus alecto (black flying fox)
Lineage: Eukaryota; Metazoa; Chordata; Mammalia; Chiroptera; Pteropodidae
Also listed under: 1 other name
Rfam family: tRNA
About the family: Transfer RNA (tRNA) molecules are approximately 80 nucleotides in length. Their secondary structure includes four short double-helical elements and three loops (D, anti-codon, and T loops). Further hydrogen bonds mediate the characteristic L-shaped molecular structure. tRNAs have two regions of fundamental functional importance: the anti-codon, which is responsible for specific mRNA codon recognition, and the 3' end, to which the tRNAs corresponding amino acid is attached (by aminoacyl-tRNA synthetases). tRNAs cope with the degeneracy of the genetic code in two manners: having more than one tRNA (with a specific anti-codon) for a particular amino acid; and 'wobble' base-pairing, i.e. permitting non-standard base-pairing at the 3rd anti-codon position.
Source: Rfam by way of RNAcentral